UCCGUAGGGGGCAAUCGUUGUCCGGAAUUACUGGGCGUAAAGAGCUCGUAGGUGGUUUGUCGCGUUGUUCGUGAAAUCUCACGGCUUAACUGUGAGCGUGCGGGCGAUACGGGCAGACUAGAGUACUGCAGGGGAGACUGGAAUUCCUGGUGUAGCGGUGGAAUGCGCAGAUAUCAGGAGGAACACCGGUGGCGAAGGCGGGUCUCUGGGCAGUAACUGACGCUGAGGAGCGAAAGCGUGGGGAGAGAACAGG
Molecule: ribosomal RNA, 253 nt
Filed under: uncultured bacterium
Lineage: Bacteria
Description: partial 16S ribosomal RNA
Rfam family: Bacterial small subunit ribosomal RNA
Source: RNAcentral